RNAcentral lists this long non-coding RNA (432 nucleotides) under Homo sapiens (human). RNAcentral's name for it is "non-protein coding lnc-ACVR2A-5:1". Lineage: Eukaryota; Metazoa; Chordata; Mammalia; Primates; Hominidae. The record is from RNAcentral.
AAAGCCAAUCCCUUUGUGAUAUGUGAGCAGACCAAGAACUGGAAAAGUCAUUUCAAUGCACCUUCCCACAUUCACAAGAAGAUUAUGUCUUCCCCACUUUCCAAAGAACUAAGACAGAAAAGAAACGUUCAAUCCGUGUUCAUCCAAAAGGAUAAUAAAGUACAGGUUGUCCAAGGACACUACAAAGGCCAGCAAAUUGGCAAAAUAGUCCAGGUUUAGAGGAAGAAAUAUAUGAUCUACAUUGAACCGAUGCAGCAGGAGAAGGCUAAUGGCACAACUGUCCCUGUGGGAAUUCACCCCAGCAGGAUGGUUGUCACUAAGCUAAAACUGGACAAAGAGUGCAAAAAGAUCCUUGAACCGAAAGGCAAAUCUCACUAAGUACAAAAGGGAAAGGACAAAUUCAAGGAAGAAACAAUUCAGAAGAUGGAGAAG